Molecule: long non-coding RNA, 2009 nt
Filed under: Pocillopora damicornis (cauliflower coral)
Lineage: Eukaryota; Metazoa; Cnidaria; Anthozoa; Scleractinia; Pocilloporidae
Description: uncharacterized LOC113685508
Source: RNAcentral
GUGAACCUUUGGUGGCAGCGAGGUGGCGUGAAUAUAAGUGGAAUGCAAUGAGGAUUCAUCGUCUGUUGCCGUUCCUUCGAAAGUUAAAAAGUGUUUACAGGCCUGCGCGAUUCUUGUCGUUCCUCCGUUUCGAGGCAACUGACGAGAUUCAGAAAGAAUCGAGACUGCAGUCCUGCCUAAGAAUAGGAACCCUAAGCAAACCACGACGGCGACGGCAACAAGGACAUGGAAAAAUAAAAGAUCUAAUUGGCGAAACAAUAGCUCAGCACGUGCGUUUUAAAACUUAGUACAUUUGUUAGCCUCCCUAGGCAAAACAGCAACGAGAAAUCACCUCAAUUUGCGUCGUCUGCGAACCGAAACCGCAACGGCAAAUUAUUUUAAUUUCCAUUUGGAACUCGAAGCUUCUUUUAUACGUUAUGCUGAAGUGUGACGCUGUAUGAGACGGUGAAUAAAUGUAGCCAUUUUUUAAAUUCUAAUCAAAGGCAGCAAUUUAUGUUUUAAACGAAUUCUUCCUUGGGGUUGCCGUCUCGACUGCUUAAGGUCCCUAAUAUACACAAACGACAGCAGUUACAUUCACAGCCGAUGCAUAUUAAAGUUAUUUCAUACAAGGGUUAACAUUUGCUUCAACUUGCAGGCUCUCCAAACUCUCGCGAAUGACCAAGAGUUUAAUGCGCGAAUGAUAAAAACAAACAUGGCGGCCAGAGUGGAAAGAGAAAUCAAAGCCCCAAAGCGAUUAAUCAAUGAAAUAAACCCGUUAAAAGCUGUAGCUGAUAAGGGCGGAAUGCCAAAGCGUCAAAAGGACAAUCGCCUUUACGAAAUUGCGUUGGAAGAGGUCGACAAAGAAGGCUAGCGAGUAAAAAUACAGUUUAACGGAUUUAGUGAUAAAUUCGACGAAUGGAGGCCAUAUGAUGGUAAAACCUUUACUAUUGUGCGAUUGGAACAUAAAUUUACACCAUCCAUGGAAUCUAUAGACGAUCGUUUGCAUCUCUUCCAAGACCGCAUGUGUGGGGAAGUGAAGCGUAAACUAUACUCUGGAAGGAAGUACGAUCCAGAAAUCAGGAUUGAAAUUCCUGUGGAAGAGGAUGUUUUCGAAUAAUCAACAUGUCAACUAGGAAGCCAAGCCCUCAAAGUUAAAGUCAAUAGAGAGAAAUUUACAAUGUACAUCUGUGUCCACCUUCCAUCAACUUUAAUAGGGUGUGCACAACAAACUGCAGUCUGGCAUUUCAUACAGUUAGCAGAGCAUGUCUUUAUGGUAUGACCAAGACCUUCACAAUUCCUACACUUGUAACUUUUCUUUAUUCUCUCCAUGCCAGCUGCUUCUAAGAGCUGUAUUCUAUUUUUCUUCAAGAGAAUCUGUUUUAGAGCAGAAAUUCCCCUAUGAUUUGAGGAUCUAAAAUAGUGUUUGGUUGCAGUAUCAUUAUAUUUUUCCUCUCCUUGUUUUGUAAAAUAGGAUAUGUUUAAAUAGAGUUUUAAGAAUUCAGGCAAUGAGCAUAUAGUGCAUGCAUGUAUGGGGUAACAUCUUUGGCUUGAUACAAGCAUAGAGACUUAUCAAACCAUGAUUAUUUGUUAACUGAGUGAUAGCAUCAUCAGUUGUAAACUCAAGCUUCAGGUCUCCAAUAAUUUCCAUAAAACUGGCCCAUAGUUUCUCCACUUCUUUAGUUUGCUUGAAGUUGGGAAGGAGUGAUUGGAAAUUUAUGCUUUGCAUAACAAGCAGUUUGUCUGGUCCAGUAAGGUCUCUAUAUUCUAAUUUCUUGGAGUCUUUGUUUACUCCAGUCAAAGGAAAUACCAAUGUUCUUCAGAAACUUUUCAUAUCCAGCCAUAUGUUUAUAUUUCUCCCUUGUAAAUCCACUAGGAAAAGUUUUCACUUCAUCUAUAGCAUCUUCCCUACAAAGUUGCUGGAUAAGAAGCUCAAUCAAGUUGUCAGAAAUCCUCAAAAAUAAGUGAAGUUUGUCAAUCAUGACAUGAUCAAUUUGAACAAAAGAAAAUAAAGGCUCUGAUUUACAAUUAAA